CAAAUAUUUCCUUUUUGCAUCAGUCAUAAUUCUUGCCAGACCAUAACCUUGUGGCUUUUGCCUUUAUAAGCCCCUGAUUCCCUCUUCCCCAGAAUACUCUUUUGGUUUUACCUGAAUCUGUGACUCCCGAAUUGCAAUUCUUAGGACCCCAAAUAAGGCUCUUUGUUUUCUGAAGCCUUGAUACUGAUUAUUCUUCAACAGCUGCCAUCUACCAGUUAAAGAUAAAGCCACCAUCUGAUGUCACGAUGUCGGGCACAUCUCACUGACAGAAGACAUUGUGAAAUGAUUGACAGAGGCUUUGCAUCUUCCAUGUUGGGGGCAUAAAACCACCCCCCCAGGCCAACAUGAGUGUCUAGGAACACACAGGAGGCCCCACCUCCGCAGCAUAUGGGCUCUACAGACGUCUGAAAUCCAGGUGUUGGCUGGGCUGUGCUCCCUCCAGAGGCUCUUCCAGCUUCUGGUGGCUCCGGUGUUCCUUGGCUUGUGGCUGCAUCACUCCAAUCUCUGCCUCUAUCUCCAUAUUGGAAACGUGUUCACAUUAUGAUUUUUAGAAGAAUUUUCUUCUAUCUCCAUGGCCACCUCUGAGUGACAUGCCAUCUCCUGCUGACCCUUUGGCCCAGUAAAUUAGCAGUUACCUCGGAAACAAGGUAUUCUAUGUUACAUCGUUAACUCCUUACAAUGACCCUGAAUCAGGGCUCUUGAGCUCAGGCAGCAGAACCAGUUAAACAAGGAAAGAGAGGGAGAAAGAGGCAGAAGGAAGGAGUCAGCACUGCCUUCAUUCUACACAUUGAGAAAAAGGAGGCUCAGAGAGAUGCUGACCUCACGGUAACAGUUGAGGAUCUUGCUCCUGCCCCUCCAAAAGGCAAGAAACAUUAAUGCUUUCUGGGCCACCAGCUGUAAGAUGCUUGCUUGCUAUCAGCGUUCCUCCUCAUUCUACUAUUGUGAAGAGCUCUUUUGCUUAAGACUUGUAUACCUAUCAACA
Molecule: long non-coding RNA, 982 nt
Organism: Lagenorhynchus albirostris (white-beaked dolphin)
Lineage: Eukaryota; Metazoa; Chordata; Mammalia; Artiodactyla; Delphinidae
Exons: 4
Source: RefSeq, a predicted model, not a curated record